UACGGAGGAUGCAAGCGUUAUCCGGAUUUAUUGGGUUUAAAGGGUGCGUAGGUGGGAUGAUAAGUCAGAGGUGAAAGCUAGCAGCUUAACUGUUAAAUUGCCUUUGAUACUGUUAUUCUUGAGUGUAGUUGGCGUUGGCGGAAUGUGACAUGUAGCGGUGAAAUGCGUAGAUAUGUCACAGAACACCGAUCGCGAAGGCAGCUAACGAAGCUAUCACUGACACUGAUGCACGAAAGCGUGGGGAGCAAACAGG
RNAcentral lists this ribosomal RNA (253 nucleotides) under uncultured bacterium. RNAcentral's name for it is "partial 16S ribosomal RNA". It matches the Rfam family "Bacterial small subunit ribosomal RNA", at positions 524 to 776 of the family's 1533-position model. The record is from RNAcentral.